RNAcentral lists this ribosomal RNA (638 nucleotides) under uncultured bacterium. RNAcentral describes it as "bacterial SSU rRNA". It matches the Rfam family "Bacterial small subunit ribosomal RNA", at positions 202 to 830 of the family's 1533-position model. The record is from RNAcentral.
AAUAUCCUUCAGGGGAUAGCGCAGGGAUGGACCUAUGGCGCAUUAGCUAGUUGGCGGGGCAACGGCCCACCAAGGCAACGAUGCGUAGCCGGCCUGAGAGGGCGGACGGCCACAUUGGGACUGAGACACGGCCCAGACUCCUACGGGAGGCAGCAGUAGGGAAUUUUCGGCAAUGGGGGAAACCCUGACCGAGCAACGCCGCGUGAGCGAAGAAGGCCUUCGGGUCGUAAAGCUCUGUUGUAAAGGAAGAACGUCGCAUGCAGGAAAUGGUGUGCGAGUGACGGUACUUUACCAGAAAGCCACGGCUAACUACGUGCCAGCAGCCGCGGUAAUACGUAGGUGGCGAGCGUUAUCCGGAAUCAUUGGGCGUAAAGAGGGAGCAGGCGGCCGCAAGGGUCUGUGGUGAAAGACCGAAGCUAAACUUCGGUAAGCCAUGGAAACCGGGCGGCUAGAGUGCGGAAGAGGAUCGUGGAAUUCCAUGUGUAGCGGUGAAAUGCGUAGAUAUAUGGAGGAACACCAGUGGCGAAGGCGACGGUCUGGGCCGCAACUGACGCUCAUUCCCGAAAGCGUGGGGAGCAAAUAGGAUUAGAUACCCUAGUAGUCCACGCCGUAAACGAUGGUCACUAAGUGUCGGGGGU